RNAcentral lists this transfer RNA (82 nucleotides) under Colletotrichum cereale. RNAcentral's name for it is "tRNA-Gly". It matches the Rfam family "tRNA". From Rfam's summary of the family: Transfer RNA (tRNA) molecules are approximately 80 nucleotides in length. Lineage: Eukaryota; Fungi; Ascomycota; Sordariomycetes; Glomerellales; Glomerellaceae. The record is from RNAcentral.
GCAAUCGUAGUGUAGCGGUUAUCAUCCCAGCCUUCCAUUCGGAUGCAAGCUGGGGACUCGGGUUCGACUCCCGGCGAUUGCA